GCCAUCCUGGAAUGCGCGGCCCCGUUUAUUGAGAACAGAAGAGUGUGCAGAUUAAACAGCUCAUAAAAAUAAGCGAGGACCCGACACUGGGCCAGGCAAACAAAGGGCUUCCUGGAAGAAAAGGUGGCUAGUCUCCCUCAUAGGCGGCCGGGAUCCCCUGGAAAGCCUGUCCUCUGGCGGCAGAAGUUAGAAGACCUCGGGCAUGUGUGGGCUUUGCCCGCUCUGUGGGCAGUAAGGCUGCCCCCACCCAGUCCUCACUCAGCCUUUGCAACCCCAGGAGCCUGGUUGGAAGGUAUCAUUAGUCCCAGCUCACAGAAGAGGAAAUCGAGGCUCCCAAAGGUGACGUCCAGAGUCACAGGAUCGAUGACUCGUACCCCAGCCCUCCUGCCCCUCGCCUGGGGCUACGGGGCCCUUUGCA
Molecule: long non-coding RNA, 418 nt
Organism: Mustela erminea (ermine)
Lineage: Eukaryota; Metazoa; Chordata; Mammalia; Carnivora; Mustelidae
Exons: 3
Source: RefSeq, a predicted model, not a curated record